CCUACGGGUGGCUGCAGUGGGGAAUAUUGCACAAUGGACGAAAGUCUGAUGCAGCAACGCCGCGUGCGGGAUGACGGCCUUCGGGUUGUAAACCGCUUUCACCAGGGGCGAAUUUGACGGUACCUGGAGAAGAAGCACCGGCUAACUACGUGCCAGCAGCCGCGGUGAUACGUAGGGUGCGAGCGUUGUCCGGAUUUAUUGGGCGUAAAGAGCUCGUAGGUGGUUUGUUGCGUCGGGAGUGAAAACACACAGCUCAACUGUGUGCUUGCUUUCGAUACGGGCAGACUUGAGGGAUGUAGGGGAGAACGGAAUUCCUGGUGGAGCGGUGGAAUGCGCAGAUAUCAGGAGGAACACCGGUGGCGAAGGCGGUUCUCUGGACAUUUCCUGACGCUGAGGAGCGAAAGCGUGGGGAGCAAACAGGCUUAGAUACCCGUGUAGUC
This 440-nucleotide ribosomal RNA is filed under the name uncultured Propionibacteriaceae bacterium. RNAcentral describes it as "bacterial SSU rRNA". It matches the Rfam family "Bacterial small subunit ribosomal RNA", at positions 338 to 795 of the family's 1533-position model. The record is from RNAcentral. Lineage: Bacteria; Bacillati; Actinomycetota; Actinomycetes; Propionibacteriales; Propionibacteriaceae.